Molecule: ribosomal RNA, 423 nt
Filed under: Oenococcus oeni
Lineage: Bacteria; Bacillati; Bacillota; Bacilli; Lactobacillales; Lactobacillaceae
Description: bacterial LSU rRNA
Rfam family: Bacterial large subunit ribosomal RNA
Source: RNAcentral
GGAGAACACUAAGGUGAGCGAGUGAACUAUUGUUAAGGAACUCUGCAAAAUGAGUCCGUAACUUCGGAAGAAGGACUGCUGGUUUUAUACCAGCCGCAGCAAAUAGGCCCAAACAACUGUUUAUCAAAAACACAGGUUUCUGCAAAAUCGUAAGAUGAAGUAUAGGGGCUGACGCCUGCCCAGUGCUGGAAGGUUAAAAGGAGGACUUAGCUUCGGCGAAGGUCUUAAUUGAAGCCCCAGUGAACGGCGGCCGUAACUAUAACGGUCCUAAGGUAGCGAAAUUCCUUGUCGGGUAAGUUCCGACCCGCAUGAAAGGCGUAAUGAUUUGGGCGCUGUCUCAACAAUAGACUCGGUGAAAUUUAAAUUCCAGUGAAGAUGCUGGGUACCCGCGACAGGACGGAAAGACCCCGUGGAGCUUUACUG